UUACUUUGUUUGUAUCGGGAGCCAUCGCAAGAAUCAGAAUGAAGACAGAUUCGAUUAAGCUCUGAAACAGCAACAAAUUUUGCAGCAGCUUCAGCUCCAUAUCUGACUAAUCGAAGAGGAAGCCCUGCAACUUGAUCAAGAUUCCUUUAAAGCAAGCGGCAAAGAAAAAGAAAAGUGAAUGGAUCGACCGGGUCAUCACCAGCUAUGGACAUUUACGGCGGAAAACUUAAAUGAGGUUCCCCAGUUUAGGAACUUGCAAAGAGCACAGCACAUUCUUGCUUAGCUGGAAAGACAAAUAUUGCUGUACUAGAACCAACAAUUCACAAGGAAUUGGGAGAAGAAUAUUCAUCGACGAAGCCUUCUGAUGGAAGGAAAGUGCACGAGAUCACAUCGAA
Molecule: long non-coding RNA, 395 nt
Organism: Zingiber officinale
Lineage: Eukaryota; Viridiplantae; Streptophyta; Magnoliopsida; Zingiberales; Zingiberaceae
Exons: 2
Source: RefSeq, a predicted model, not a curated record